RNAcentral lists this unclassified non-coding RNA (346 nucleotides) under soil metagenome. Its description in RNAcentral is "partial contains 5.8S ribosomal RNA, internal transcribed spacer 2, and large subunit ribosomal RNA". The stretch from base 1 to 120 matches the Rfam family "5.8S ribosomal RNA", at positions 35 to 154 of the family's 154-position model. The record is from RNAcentral.
GAUGAAGAACGCAGUGAAAUGCGAUAAUUAAUGUGAAUUGCAGAAUUCAGUGAAUCAUCGAGUCUUUGAACGCACAUUGCGCCCCCUGGUAUUCCGGGGGGCAUGCCUGUCCGAGCGUCAUUGCUGCCCUCAAGCACGGCUUGUGUGUUGGGCUUCCGUCCCUGGCAACGGGGACGGGCCCAAAAGGCAGUGGCGGCACCAUGUCUGGUCCUCGAGCGUAUGGGGCUUUGUCACCCGCUCCCGUAGGUCCAGCUGGCAGCUAGCCUCGCAACCAAUCUUUUUAACCAGGUUGACCUCGGAUCAGGUAGGGAUACCCGCUGAACUUAAGCAUAUCAAUAAGCGGGGA